AACGAACGCUGGCGGCAUGCCUAACACAUGCAAGUCGAACGAAACCUCCAGGACCAGGGGCGCCCGAGGUCGUAACGCGUGGGAACCUUCCCUUAUGGUCGGACUACCUACCCGAAAGGGGUGCUAAUACGGGACAAUAUCUUCUACCCAAAGAUUUAUCGACUUUGGAUGGUCCCGCGUUUGAUUCGCUAGUUGUUAGGGUAAAAGCUUACCAAGGCGACGAUCCAUAGCUGGUCUGAGAGAAUGAUCAGCCACACUGGGAGUGAGACACGGCCCGGAAUCCUACGGGAUGCAGCAGUGGCGGAUAUUGGAACAUGGGCGAAGGCAUGAUCGAGCAAUGACGCGUGAGUGCUGAAGGCAUUAGGGUUGUAAAGCUCAUUUAACCGGGAUGAUAAUGACAGUACCGGAAGAAUAAGCUCCGGCUAACUACGUG
RNAcentral lists this ribosomal RNA (433 nucleotides) under uncultured bacterium. RNAcentral's name for it is "partial 16S ribosomal RNA". It matches the Rfam family "Bacterial small subunit ribosomal RNA", at positions 29 to 507 of the family's 1533-position model. The record is from RNAcentral.